UGUCCAGGGAUGGAAAUCGAACCCACAAUGUUCCGCUUACCGGGCAGAUGCCAUGUCCAUUAGGCACAGUGUCCCUGGAC
Molecule: transfer RNA, 80 nt
Filed under: Cordylochernes scorpioides
Lineage: Eukaryota; Metazoa; Arthropoda; Arachnida; Pseudoscorpiones; Chernetidae
Description: tRNA-Thr
Source: RNAcentral